UUUCGGAUGAGCCUCAGCUGCACACAGGGGAAUUCACUGACUGAAGAUAUCUUUACCAGCUGGUGCUGCAGACGACCACCUUGUGCCCAAACCAGCAACCAACUCACAAGUCAAGGGAAUCAUGAGGGUUCAGAGUGCCUGUUUGCUGUUGCUGCUGCUCUGUGCUGCUGUGCUCUCGCAAACUUACAAUGAUUUCAAAAAGAAACACAUCCUUCCAGAAAACGGCUCUCGUAAAUGUGAUGAUAUGAUGAAAAACGUUAAUGGCAUUAAUCAGUGCAAGCGAAUUAAUACGUUUAUCAACCAGAAAGCAGAAAAGGUUAAGGCUUUGUGUAAAGGUAAAAAAAAUGAAUACAUCACCCACAAAUUUGAUGUUAUUGACUGUAAGAUGAAAAGUGUGAAGCCUUGUAAAUACAAGUCUCUAGCACUCAAAGGAAAGAAGAAGAAGGUAAAAUGUGAAAAUGGCCUACCAGUACAUCUUGAGCAGGGCAUAUAUGACAAUUUUGAUUAUGACAGUGAAAAUUAAAGAUUGUUGUGCUUUUUUCAGUUUUCUUUGUAAUGCUGUACGAUCGUUACCUUCCAGUAUAAAGCGCAUUGACACAACUGCUGUUGUGAUCUGGCGCUGUUUAAAUAAAUCUGAAUGGAACUGAACAAAGAAUUUUACCUGUGCCACAAACCCUUUAAUGUUGCCAUUGCUAUAUUUUGAUUAUUUGUCUUCGAUUGUUUCAUUGUUUAUUCAUGCAUUUUUCUGGACUUUUUUGUGUAACCUUUAUGGGUUACACGUGUUAAAAAUGUAUUUGCAAGUGAUGAAAUUUGCUAAUGAGUAUUUUUGAGUUUUAUCUGCAUAUUUCUGAAAAAUAAACCACAUUCACAUUUUGCUUUAAAGCACAAAAUGAGCGAGUACUUCUCUGAGGACCGUCUCCAGACAUCGGUUCUCUCUAUGCAUGUCUGCAGCUACCUGAAAGGCUUCUCUGAUGUUGUUUUUUGAUCAUUCGAAAUCCGCUUGUGUGAUAA
RNA transcript from Maylandia zebra (zebra mbuna), 1011 nucleotides. RefSeq lists it as uncharacterized. NCBI's taxonomy places the organism in Eukaryota, Metazoa, Chordata, Actinopteri, Cichliformes, Cichlidae. The record is from RefSeq and is a predicted model, not a curated record.